Molecule: unclassified non-coding RNA, 328 nt
Filed under: soil metagenome
Description: partial contains 5.8S ribosomal RNA, internal transcribed spacer 2, and large subunit ribosomal RNA
Rfam family: 5.8S ribosomal RNA (bases 1-120)
Source: RNAcentral
GAUGAAGAACGUAGCGAAAUGCGAUAAGUAAUGUGAAUUGCAGAAUUCAGUGAAUCAUCGAAUCUUUGAACGCACAUUGCGCCCCUUGGUAUUCCGAGGGGCAUGCCUGUUCGAGCGUCAUUAUAACCCCUCAAGCUCAGCUUGGUGUUGGGGCCUGCUGCACUGGCAGCCCUUAAAAUCAGUGGCGGCGCCAUCUGGCUCUAAGCGUAGUAUUCUUCUCGCUAUGGAGUCCUGGUGGAUGCUUGCCAUCAACCCCCAAUUUUUCUAUGGUUGACCUCGGAUCAGGUAGGGAUACCCGCUGAACUUAAGCAUAUCAAUAAGCGGAGGA